GAUAAUCUACCCUUAGGACCGGGAUAACCUUGGGAAACUGAGGAUAAUACCGGAUAGGCAAUUAUUCCUGUAAUGGUUUUUUGUUUAAAUGUUUUUUCGCCUAAGGAUGAGUCUGCGGCCGAUUAGGUAGUUGGCUAGGUAAUGGCUUACCAAGCCGUUGAUCGGUACGGGUUGUGAGAGCAAGAGCCCGGAGAUGGAACCUGAGACAAGGUUCCAGGCCCUACGGGGUGCAGCAGGCGCGAAACCUCCGCAAUGUGAGAAAUCGCGACGGGGGGAUCCCAAGUGCCAUUCUUAACGGGAUGGCUUUUCAUUAGUGUAAAGAGCUUUUGGAAUAAGAGCUGGGCAAGACCGGUGCCAGCCGCCGCGGUAACACCGGCAGCUCUAGUGGUAACAAUUUUUAUUGGGCCUAAAGCGUCCGUAGCCGGUUAAUAAGUCUCUGGUGAAAUCCUGUAGCUUAACUG
Molecule: ribosomal RNA, 461 nt
Filed under: uncultured archaeon
Lineage: Archaea
Description: bacterial SSU rRNA
Rfam family: Archaeal small subunit ribosomal RNA
Source: RNAcentral